RNAcentral lists this ribosomal RNA (569 nucleotides) under Aspergillus niger. Its description in RNAcentral is "eukaryotic LSU rRNA". The stretch from base 202 to 355 matches the Rfam family "5.8S ribosomal RNA". The record is from RNAcentral. Lineage: Eukaryota; Fungi; Ascomycota; Eurotiomycetes; Eurotiales; Aspergillaceae.
GCGGAAGGAUCAUUACCGAGUGCGGGUCCUUUGGGCCCAACCUCCCAUCCGUGUCUAUUGUACCCUGUUGCUUCGGCGGGCCCGCCGCUUGUCGGCCGCCGGGGGGGCGCCUCUGCCCCCCGGGCCCGUGCCCGCCGGAGACCCCAACACGAACACUGUCUGAAAGCGUGCAGUCUGAGUUGAUUGAAUGCAAUCAGUUAAAACUUUCAACAAUGGAUCUCUUGGUUCCGGCAUCGAUGAAGAACGCAGCGAAAUGCGAUAACUAAUGUGAAUUGCAGAAUUCAGUGAAUCAUCGAGUCUUUGAACGCACAUUGCGCCCCCUGGUAUUCCGGGGGGCAUGCCUGUCCGAGCGUCAUUGCUGCCCUCAAGCCCGGCUUGUGUGUUGGGUCGCCGUCCCCCUCUCCGGGGGGACGGGCCCGAAAGGCAGCGGCGGCACCGCGUCCGAUCCUCGAGCGUAUGGGGCUUUGUCACAUGCUCUGUAGGAUUGGCCGGCGCCUGCCGACGUUUUCCAACCAUUCUUUCCAGGUUGACCUCGGAUCAGGUAGGGAUACCCGCUGAACUUAAGCAUA